GACAGCAGCAGCCACGGGAAUACAGAGGGUGCGAGCGUUAAUCGGAUUUACUGGGCGUAAAGCGUGCGUAGGCGGCUUCUUAAGUCGGAUGUGAAAUCCCUGAGCUUAACUUAGGAAUUGCAUUCGAUACUGGGAAGCUAGAGUAUGGGAGAGGAUGGUAGAAUUCCAGGUGUAGCGGUGAAAUGCGUAGAGAUCUGGAGGAAUACCGAUGGCGAAGGCAGCCAUCUGGCCUAAUACUGACGCUGAGGUACGAAAGCAUGGGGAGCAAACAGGAUUAGAUACCCCAGUAGUCCCUGUCUCUUAUAC
RNAcentral lists this ribosomal RNA (306 nucleotides) under uncultured bacterium. RNAcentral describes it as "partial 16S ribosomal RNA". It matches the Rfam family "Bacterial small subunit ribosomal RNA", at positions 507 to 807 of the family's 1533-position model. The record is from RNAcentral.